GGGUUGUGAGGUUAAGCGACUAAGCGUACACGGUGGAUGCCCUGGCAGUCAGAGGCGAUGAAGGACGUGCUAAUCUGCGAUAAGCGCCGGUAAGGUGAUAUGAACCGUUAUAACCGGCGAUUUCCGAAUGGGGAAACCCAGUGUGACUCGUCACACUAUCAUUAACUGAAUCCAUA
Molecule: ribosomal RNA, 176 nt
Filed under: Salmonella enterica subsp. enterica serovar Panama
Lineage: Bacteria; Pseudomonadati; Pseudomonadota; Gammaproteobacteria; Enterobacterales; Enterobacteriaceae
Description: partial 23S ribosomal RNA
Rfam family: Bacterial large subunit ribosomal RNA
Source: RNAcentral